RNAcentral lists this long non-coding RNA (2594 nucleotides) under Equus asinus (donkey). RNAcentral describes it as "lncRNA (ENSEASG00005030859.1)". The record is from RNAcentral. Lineage: Eukaryota; Metazoa; Chordata; Mammalia; Perissodactyla; Equidae.
UGGUUUGAUGAAUUUCGUUAUUUUUAUGGGAUUCUUGACCACUAUCUCUUAAAAUAUUUCUUCCGCCCUGUUCUCUCACUCUUCUUCUCUUGUCCAGAAGACGGAUCUGAGGACCCAUCCCCACACAGCCAUCAGUUACCUUCUGUGUGCCUGCACUGUGGAGGAAGCCUUUCUCCCGGCUCCUGCCUGCCUGUCAUCCUCCUCAGGAGCAUCCAGGGGAAGGCUUGUGAGUGAGGGAGCACAGACUGCCCUGUGUCUGGAGCACCCAACUGUUUUGGAGCGAUGCACUAGCCCACACGGGGCCGUCGGCAGUUGGUUAAAACCUAAGCUUAUUUCUCGUUCCCCACUUGCACCUGCUGGCCCUCUCUCCCAUGCUCUACUCCAGGUGACACCGUGAGUGAGUUCCAUCUCUCCUCACAAGGCCUUAACUCUUUGGAAUUCUGGUAGUUAGCUGCCUUGUGAUCUCAGCUCUCUGAUGGGUUUGAGAAAAACUGAUUGCGUAGCAGGUUAAGAUGGGGUAAUAUUUAUAGCUUUCUUCAUCCCAAGCGGAAGUGGCAUCUCCACUGGUUACACUUUGAAUUCAUGACUCCAUACUCUUUCCUGCUGCUGGGCAAUCCCACUCCAUCUCUCUGGUGUAAUCAUUCUCUCAUUCUCCUGGAUGACUGCUUCAGUUUUCCCUCUCUCCUCCUGCAAACUCACUCUCAGCUGAUGAAUUUGCUUCCCAUUUCACUGUAAAAGCAAAAGCAACCUUCCACCAACUCUCACUAUGACACCUACCCAUCUACCUGUGUCUACCCUCUGCCUUCCCUCCUGUUAGAGGAUGAACAGCCAAUGAUCCUAGCAGAGAACCACACCCUUAUUUGUCCAUCAGACAAUUCCCAUAGUCUCUCAUCUACUCAAAGAUGUCUCUCCAGCAUUUCUCUUCUCCCUCUCUGGUCAUCAACUUUCCCUCUCUGCCUCAAACAGCAAACUCUGCUCCCUUCUAAACUUGUCUAGGUAUACAAUAUAACAGAACCCUAUAUUUAUGUAUUUUACUUUCCCAUCAUGGUUAUGUCGGACUUUAUUGCCAUUUAUAAAAAUGGAGGCGGGCCUAAUAAGCUUCCUUUGCACUUUUCUAAUUCUUUCAAAUUCUAUUCCUGUAGACUCCUUCAACUUGGCGUGCAAAUCGCUGAAAAUACUCGUGCUGCCAGCAGAGGGCGCCCUCAUUGUGCCCAUGCUCCGUCCAGGAAGUGCAUAGUGGAGUCCAAAGGAGAUUUGGUCUGGGAAACAUUUGCCCGGGGUUUCUGGUUAUCAUAUUUCCCCAACAGGCACCUGUUUGACUGGCAUUUCCUGGCUCACACCCAUCUUAGCAUAUUUCUUUGUUGGUUGAUUGGCUUGAAGGAAGGUUUCAGUAAUUCAUUACUUCACAUCAUCAGAGCGGAACCCCAUAAGCAAUUAACCCUUCACAAGCUGAGUCACCGGACUUUGGAUAAUACAGGAUUAGACCAUUUAGCUGAAGCAGCUCAAGUCUGUAAAUAUGCAUGGGUUUCUGGAGCCUUUGGCAAUGCCUUAUAUGGAUUUCCUGAAUCAUCAGCAGAACACAGAGAGUCUGGCUCUCCCCACCACCCUGCUGCUGGUGUGUAGCUGUAUCAGAGACAUUGCCUGGGAAGACCACGUGGGACCAGCUGUGUCUGAAACUCUGCUGAUUCUCAGGAACAAGGCCCUGAGCUGCACGUCUAGUUUCUCAGCUUGUCCGUUGGGAUGGAGCACCCUGUAGCAGUUAGUCAACCUGAGGUAACCUGAUUCUUCUGCUUGAGUGGCUUCACGAAGCAGCGAACACUUUUCCUGUCCAUUGUUGAACCCCUCAUGCCUAACCCAGUGCCUAGAACACAGGCUCGUCAUAGAUGUGUGGAAUGAAUGGAUGAAAGAAAACAACGAAGAGCCAGUUGUCGGUGGAGGAUCCCAAAGGAGCAGUUCCGCCUUCAUGUUGAAGACUUUCUUUGCCCUGCAUGUUGUAACCACAUAAAGCUAGCUGGGAGCCACGUGGCUGCCCUCAUUGUUGCUCCUUGGCAAUGUUCUCUCUGUGCCAGGCAUCAAACAUGAGCCCCUCAGUGGGAUCCCUGCCCUGUGUGCGCCCCAAUACCUGGACACUUCCUGGAUGCUCCAAGAGGAUGGAGAUUUGCCCCUCCCGACUUUCCCAUGAUUAAUGUUUGUCCGUAGCCUUGUCACAACCAACCUUGGGAGUGUUGCUGGGUUCUGGUGGGGGUCCCUCCUGAGAGAGGCCUUUCUAUUCUGUGAGGUGAAUUGAAGGCUGUCAAACCUUUCGCUCAAACUGGUCUCAUCUGCAUCAAGUCGUACAGAAAUUCCUUGAAAUGUCUGGUAUGUGGGUGGAAUCCUUUUUCAGUUUUGAAGAAUGACAGAUUUUCCCCUAUCAUUAUUUUCCUUUGGCUGUGUCAAUGGGAGUUUGGAAGAGAGACAGGAUGGGAAGUUCAAUGUGAGGAUUUGAAUGCCUGUCACAGAAUAGAAGUCUGUCCUUGUACUUUUCCUAGUCUCUUUAGACAAAGUCCCCUCCACCUUAUAGCCCUAUGUAUGUAUAGCCCUAUGUAUGUAUGUAU